This 531-nucleotide ribosomal RNA is filed under the name Pediococcus acidilactici. RNAcentral's name for it is "bacterial SSU rRNA". It matches the Rfam family "Bacterial small subunit ribosomal RNA", at positions 339 to 855 of the family's 1533-position model. The record is from RNAcentral. Lineage: Bacteria; Bacillati; Bacillota; Bacilli; Lactobacillales; Lactobacillaceae.
CUACGGGAGGCAGCAGUAGGGAAUCUUCCACAAUGGACGCAAGUCUGAUGGAGCAACGCCGUGUGAGUGAAGAAGGGUUUCGGGUCGUAAAGCUCUGUUGUUAAAGAAGAACGUGGGUGAGAGUAACUGUUCACCCAGUGACGGUAUUUAACCAGAAAGCCACGGCUAACUACGUGCCAGCAGCCGCGGUAAUACGUAGGUGGCAAGCGUUAUCCGGAUUUAUUGGGCGUAAAGCGAGCGCAGGCGGUCUUUUAAGUCUAAUGUGAAAGCCUUCGGCUCAACCGAAGAAGUGCAUUGGAAACUGGGAGACUUGAGUGCAGAAGAGGACAGUGGAACUCCAUGUGUAGCGGUGAAAUGCGUAGAUAUAUGGAAGAACACCAGUGGCGAAGGCGGCUGUCUGGUCUGUAACUGACGCUGAGGCUCGAAAGCAUGGGUAGCGAACAGGAUUAGAUACCCUGGUAGUCCAUGCCGUAAACGAUGAUAAGGUGAAGUGUUGGAGGGUUUACCGCCCUUCCGAGUGCUGCAAGCUAA